CCUACGGGAGGCAGCAGUAGGGAAUCUUCCGCAAUGGGCGAAACCCUGACGCAGCAACGCCGCGUGAGUGAUGAAGUUCCUCGGAACGUAAAGCUCUAUCAGUAGGGAAGAACAUACCGGUACGUAACUAUGCACGCCUGGCGAAAUACGGGCCAGCAGCCGAGGUAAUACGUAGGGGGCGAGCGUUCUCCGGAUUUACUGGGUGUAACGGGAGCGUAGACGGUAGGACAAGUCUGGUGUGAAAGCCGAGGGCUUAACCUUGGAGGGUCAUUGGAAACUGUGCAGCUGGAGUGCAGGAGAGGAAAGUGGAAUUCCGAGUGUAGCGGUGAAAUGCGCAGAGAUUAGGAGGAACACCAGUGGCGAAGGCGGCUUACUGGUCUGUAACUGACGUUGAGGCGCGAAAGCGUGGGGAUCAAACAGGAUUAGAUACCCUGGUAGUC
Molecule: ribosomal RNA, 440 nt
Filed under: uncultured bacterium
Lineage: Bacteria
Description: partial 16S ribosomal RNA
Rfam family: Bacterial small subunit ribosomal RNA
Source: RNAcentral